Long non-coding RNA from Syzygium oleosum, 474 nucleotides. RefSeq lists it as uncharacterized. NCBI's taxonomy places the organism in Eukaryota, Viridiplantae, Streptophyta, Magnoliopsida, Myrtales, Myrtaceae. The record is from RefSeq and is a predicted model, not a curated record. The transcript is spliced from 2 exons.
CUUCGACGAUCGACCCAUCAAUAUUCAGUUUUACGCUGCCUCUCUCUGGAGGGAUCCACGAGAUCGGUGAGUUCCCCUGUCGCGUUUCUCGGUUGUUCACUAGAGGGCUCCAACGCUUAAAGUUUUUGUCUAUGGUGCAUGCUUCGUCUACUAUUGAGCUCGGGUCUGGAUGGCGAUUUUGAAAGACGGCUCUGUUUCGGGCCAGCCAAAUUUUCCACAAUACCCCAGUGACCAGCUCCGAUGAAGGCAACAAGAAAAGGUGUUCCACAGACUCGGGGGCUUGCUGACAGACUGGGCAAAGAGGAUCAGGCGUUAUCGUUCUCUUACACAGGUUCUCUCGAGUUGGUAAGCUAUUCUGACACACACUCCAAAUGAAAAACUUGAUUUUUGGCAUAGUGUUGAGGUUCCAGAUUUUUUGCCAUAGGGAUUUGGGGAUUUGGUAUGAGGAGGAAGCCUGGUUGUGAUUUUGCUGGA